This 7000-nucleotide long non-coding RNA is filed under the name Mytilus galloprovincialis (Mediterranean mussel). The record is from RNAcentral. Lineage: Eukaryota; Metazoa; Mollusca; Bivalvia; Mytilida; Mytilidae.
CAGAUAUGACUUUGUUUAUCUUUAGAGAAUUUGGUGUGUAUAGCAGAUUUUAACUAGUCAUUUAGUUACUUUAGUAUAUUAGUGAUUUUGCCAGUGCUUAUUAUAAAUCAACCAUUUUCAAAUAACAAAAUCGUUUCUUAUCAAUUUUUUCCCUUAGUAGAUACUGUGGAUUCACUUAUUUUCGUGGGGACCAAUUUUUGUGGAGAACUUACAUGUUCGUGGAUAUUUAUUUUCAUGUGUUGAAGUCUGCAAACAAGCUUUUAGAAAAAUUCGUAUUAAUUGAUUAUUUAAUUUCGUGAUUAACCUGUACCUAUAAAAUCCACGAACAUUGGUAUCCAACAAAUAAUAAUGAAUCCACAGUAUAUAAAAGCAAAACAAACAAAAAAAACAACAUUUGUAUUCAAACAAAAUUUUUCUAGAAUCAUAAUAAUAAUAAGUCUAAUAAAUAUACUCUUCUCUAUUGUUGAAAACCAUAUGUUGAUCUCUAGGUGUCUUUUGUGUUUUUUUUCUAUUGUUUGGUUGCUGUUUUUGACAUAUACUUCAUAUCUCCAUAGUAAACUAAAUCCCUUUCAAUGUAAUUCGAACAAUAACAAUUUUACGGGUUUACAUGUAUAAAUAAGAGUGAAUAAUGAGACUUGUUUGUUGUCAGACAUUUUAGACUGCGAAUUUGAUUGAAGAUAGUCAGGAUAUACUUGUUAACCCUUUCCUCCAUAAUGACGUUUUUUGACGCCACCCCCUUUACUCCAUAAUGACGACUUUUGACGCCUGUGUAGUACCUCAGUUGAAACGCUUAGACUACGAAAUGUCUGCAUUGGACUUAAAAAAAUUAGCAUCCAAUAUGAAAAGGAUAUUCAUAAGAAUAUCUGAUUUGAAUUUCAUUGAUGAAAUAUUCAUUUUCACAAUGCAUUAAUACUUUAAACCCGAUGAUUUUUUUUUUAUUAAAAAAAUCCUAUGCAAAUCAAGUAUGUAAGAAAAUAAAUUCCACGGAGGAAAGGGUUAACCAAUCAUUGUGUCACAACUUCAUUCAAUGAAAGUAUAUUUAUGUCUUGAAUAUAAUUUAAUAUUCAUUUGUAAUGUAUCAAAAUAUAUAACAAAAUUAUCAUGAUUAUUAAAUUUGUACAGUAAUUUGAAACUUGUCAUAAAUCUGAUUGGUCAUAUAAAAACUAUGUCUAAAAGUUACUACUUUAUUUGUUUGAAGCAUCUGUUAUUGUUAUAGAAUUUUGGGAUUGCAUUAAGUUUCGGGCUGAUAUGGGGGUGUCAGGAUGAUACCCAGGCCGAUAAGGAAAAGUCCAUGCAUUAGUCUCAAUGUAUUGCCUCUCACUAAUUAAGUUAAUAUAGUUAUAUUAUUUAUAUUGUUCCGCUAUGAGUGCAAUCAAAACUAUUAUUUCUUUCCUUUACAAAGAAGGGUUGGUAUACUGGUUUACCUCUGUCCAUGUUUCCAUAUCAAUUUUGAUAUGACACCAUUUUGAGUUGUCGCAUGUUUGCUAUUUGAAUGAUGAUUCAUAUCAUAUCAUACAUUUCUAAACAUUCUGAUAAAUCAAAUUCUGUAACUUAACAGAAACAAAAAAAACAUUUUGCACAUCUGAGAGGUAUGUAGCUCCAACAUCUCUGCCAUUCCAAAACUAUCAGCUCUCAGCAUUCUUAUUAGGAUUAGUGUAAAAUAGUUCUUUGACUGCAGAAAACUGUAUAAUCUUGAUUCUUCUUUUUUAUUAUUAGAUAUAUGUAUGAUCUCAUUUGCUAUUGUAAGAUAAAUAAUUUCUGUAAAUAAUUAAAAUGUGUGCUUUUGUGAAUAGCGUUAAAGGGCAUAUUAACAAAGCAAUGUCUUUCUAGGACUAUUUUCAGUGGACUUGACAUACUGUUAGCAUAUUUUCAUAGAUAAUUUUUAUUUACCAGUCAAAAUUUUGACGGGACGUAUUAUGGUAUAUAAAUGUCCAGCAUCCGUCUGUCCGUCUAUCAGUCUGUCUGUCCCAUGUAAACAUGUCGUACCUUAAAUUGAGAACGACUUAUCCAAAUUUCAUGAAACUUAACAUAGUUGUUUCUUAUGAUGGUCAAACGAUCUGUAUACUUUUUGGUGGAAAUUAGAAUAAAACUUUUUGAGUUACGGGACUUUGUAACUAAAACCAGGGUGUGUUUUUUUUCAAAUGACAUGUCACACCGUAUCUCAAAAACAAUUUAUGAUUAUUGCUUAAAACUUUACACACUUCUUACUUAGAUUAAUCUUAAAAUCUGUAUACUUUUUGGUGAUGAUUCUAAAUUUUAUUGUAAAGUUAUUGAGUUUUUUUGUAAAAAAAGGGGGGGGGGGGGAGUUUCACAUGUCACACUGUAUCUCAGAAACUGUUCAUGAUUAUUGCAUAAACUUCAAACACAAGAAGACGUAUCAUGCGCUCAUGGUGCAGCUGUUUAUUUAAUUGUUUAGUCCUUUUGAUCUAAUUUCUUAAAGAUAUGUUUUAACUAAUUUUGACAAGUACAUGACUAUUUGAAUUUAUGUCUUUUUUCUUCUCGCAACACUCACUUAAACAAGUUUUUAUAGUAUUUCAGAAAUCCAGAGAAAUAUUCUUUGAAAAUAAACAUAACUUAUUCUAUGCCUCAUAAAUGUAAAACUACUUGACAAUGAAUAUUUCGUUCUAUGAAAAACAACAAAUUAUCUGCACUUCAUUAUUAAAAUAUUUGGUUUGAUUCCGAUUGUCUUUUAAAAAUUUCUACAUUUAAUACUUGGAAUGAUUAAUUAUAGAACAUUCCAUGUUUUAAGUAUCUAUGUAACACUUGUCAGAUUGGUUCUAUUUUUAUGGUUGUUUUGUUUUUGUGAAUUACUGUAGAAGUUCUUAUAUUCAUAAUCCUAAAUGACAGUUUUUCCAUUCUGUUGACAAAAAAUUUGCUCAUGAGAUUUUUAUGAGAUUUUAUUAUUAGUAUUGGACAUCAAACCCUGUCAAUGAAACAUAUUCUUUUUACAUGGUAUUAAAAUGUAUGAUUUUCAUGAGCAAUGAAAUUUUUUUCUUGGUGUUAAUUUAAUCUUUAUAUUAUAGUUUUCAUGAGCAAUGGAAAAUAAGAAUUGAAUUGAAACCAAGAAAGAACAGUAAUCUAACAAGUAUCUUUCUUGAUUGUUUUAUUUUUUUAACAUUCAAUACUUGGACUUGGUUCAGUAAAACUGACAAAGCAUGAUUUUGAAUAUGUACAUAUCUUGUAUCUAACUACAAUGUAUCUGUUUCUGUUGAUGAAAAAGUAUUUUAACAGUUUAGUGUUUAAUGAUUUUUUGUGAUUUAAAAGUAUGUAUAUGUGAAUAUUUAUUUUGAUGGAAGAAUUAAAAAACUUUAGGAAAAGCAUUGCUUAUUGUUUGUAAGAAAUACAUUAUUCUGUGAUAAAAACCAAACAUUAUUCAAUAAAAUAUCAAAGAAAAGUAUUUGUGUUAGUUGUAUUUCUAGUUGAUUAAUUUUGACUAAAUUGGCAUGGACAGAAUGAAAGGAUAGUGUAUUUAUUGUAAAGUAGGCAUACCUAUAGUUGUUAAAUUCUGUGCUAUUUUGGUCUCUUGUGGAGAGUUGUCUCAUUGGCAAUUAUACCACAUCUUUUUAUGCCCCACCUAUGAUAGUAGAGGGGCAUUAUGUUUUCUGGUCUGUGCGUCCGUUCGUCCGUCCGUUUGUCCUGCUUCAGGUUAAAAUUUUUUGUCAAGGUAGUUUUUAAUGAAGUUGAAGUCCAAUCAACUUUAAACUUAGUACACUUGUUGCUUAUGAUAUAAUCUUUCUAAUUGUAAAGCCAAAUUAGACUUUUGACCCCAAUUUCACAGUCCAUUGAACAUAGAAAAUGAAAGUGCUAGUGGGGCAUCUGUGUACUUUGGACACAUUCUUGUUUAUGUAUACUAUAUCAACAUCUACAUAAGUACCAUGUCCUGAAAAUGCAUAAAACAUUUGCCACUAGGCAUUUACAAACAAAUGUAGCAAAGAAGAAUAAUCCAUUCUUCAUUAGAACGUUUGUCAUGUUAAGAAUGGUUACUAGACCCCCAUGUGUUCAGAUCAGUUAAACAUAAGUUUUAGCAUAUGAAAGUUGCUACAAUUAUUUACAAAACUUUACUUUUUUUUCUGAUAAAGAUGUUUCUGUAAGGCAGCUGUAAAAGGCAUUCAUACUCAGAUCAAAUAGAUUAGAUAGUAAUGAUCUAUAUUUAAGUUUUCACAUGUUUUGAUUUGCAUUGACUUCUGUCUUUUGCUGAACACUGUAGGUUGACCCCUGGUUGUCAUUUGGUUAUCAUUCGCUUGCUGUGAUAUUUGGUUAAAUUUUUCAUUGGCUGCUUGCUGUUAUUUGGUUAUAUUAUUAAAUCAUUGGUUCGCUGUGUCGUUUGGUUAAAUUUAUAAUUGGCUUGCUGUGUCAUUUGGUUGUAUUUAUCAUCAUUAGCCUGCUGUGUCAUAGGAUUGUAUUUAUUAUCAUUGGCUUUCUGUGUUAUUUGGUUAAAUCUAUCAUUGGCUUGCUCUGUUAUUUGGUUAAAUCUAUCAUUGGCUUGAUGUGUCAUUUAAAAGUUAAGUGACAAAUGUCUACAUCUGUAUGGGAUAAAAAAAAAAUGAGUGGUAUGAUUUCCAAUUAGACAACUCUCCACAAGAGAUUAAAAUGACACAGAAAAUAACAACUAUAGGUCACCGUACGGCCUUCAACAAUGAGCAAAGCCCAUAUCGUAUAGUAUAUUAUUAAAUCAUUGGUUCGCUGUGUCGUUUGGUUAAAUUUAUAAUUGGCUUGCUGUGUCAUUUGGUUGUAUUUAUCAUCAUUAGCCUGCUGUGUCAUAGGAUUGUAUUUAUUAUCAUUGGCUUUCUGUGUUAUUUGGUUAAAUCUAUCAUUGGCUUGCUCUGUUAUUUGGUUAAAUUUAUCAUUGUCUUGCUGUGUCGUUUGGUUAAAUUAAUCAUUUCCUUGCUUGUCAUUUGGUUAAAUUUAUCAUUGAUAUGGUGUGUCAUUUGGUUGUACAUUUUUGUAUUUAUCAUUGUCUUGCUGUGUCAAUUUGUUCAAUUUAUCAUUAACUUGCUGUGUCAUUUGGAUAUAAUUAUUAUUGGCUUGCCUUAUUAUUUAGUUAUAUUUAUCAUUUUCUUGCUUGUCAUUUGGUAAAAUUUACCAUUGACUUGGUGUGUUAUUUGGUUAAAUUCAUCAUUGACUUGAUGUGUCAUUUGGUUAAAUUUACCAUUGACUCGAUGUGUCAUUUGGUUAAAUUUAUCAUUGACUUGAUGUGUCAUUUGGUUAAAUUUAUCAUUGACUUGAUGUGUCAUUUGGUUAAAUUUAUCAAUAGCUUGAUGUGUCAUGUCGUCCACAUCUGUAUGGAACAUAUAUAUCUGAAAUCUAGUGGAGUUGUAAAAAAGUGCCUUAUGUGAUUAGAACAUUUAAAAGUUAAGUGACAAAUGUCUACAUCUGUAUGGAUAUAAAAAAAAUGAGUGGUAUGAUUGCCAAUUAGACAACUCUCCACAAGAGAUUAAAAUGACACAGAAAAUAACAACUAUAGGUCACCGUACGGCCUUCAACAAUGAGCAAAGCCCAUAUCGUAUAGUCAGCUAUAAAAGGCCCCGAAAUGACAAUGUAAACAAUUCAAACGAGAAAACUAACGGCCUUAUUUAUAUAAACUAGAGGCUCUCAAGAGCCUGUAUCGCUCACCUGACUCUACUUGGGUUUUUGAAAUCAUAUAAAAAAAGAUAAAAUUUGGCUACAAAGUAACAACACUUGGCCACCACCUCAUUAGGAAAGGAACAUUUAUGCUAUGUAUGAUUUCAUUCAAUUCAGUGGUUCUCUAGAAGAAGACUUUUGUAUGCAUUUCCCAUAGUGUCCUAUGUUAAACAAAGUCACCCUACUGGCGGCCAUCUUGGAUGUUGGAUCGGCUACAAAGUAACAACACUUGUUCAACACCUCAUAAGGAACAUUCAUAUCAUGUUUGGUUUCAUUCGGAUCCAUUCAGUGGUUCUCUAAAAGAAGUCAUUUGUAUGAAUUUCCCAUAGUGUCCUAUGUUAAACUAAGUCCCCCGCUGGCGGCCAUAUUAGAUGAUGGAUCGGCUACAAAGUUACAACACUUGGUCAUCACAUCAUAAGGAACAUUCAUACUAUGUUUGGUUUCAUCCCAUUCAGUGUAUGGAUUUCCCAUAGGGUCCUAUGUUAAACUAAGUCCCCCGCUGGCGGCCAUCUUGGAUGAUGGAUCGGCUACAAGUAACAACACUUGGUCAGCACCUCAUAAGGAACAUUCAUGCCAUGUUUAGUUUCAUUCCAUUCAGUGGUUCUCUAGAAGAAGUUCAAAAUGUAAAAUGUUAACGACGACGGACGACAACGACGGACGACAGACGACGGACGCCGAAUGAUGAGAAAAGCUCACUGGCCCUUCGGGCCAGGUGAGCUUAAAAUGAACGAAAAACAAAUAUGCAACAAAUAAACAAACGACAACCACUGAAUUACAGGCUCCUGACUUGGGACAGGCACAUACAUACAUAAUGUGGCGGGGUUAAACAUGUUAGCGGGAUCCAAACCCUCGGCUCCCUAACCUGGGACAGUGGUAUAACAGUACAACAUACGACCGAACUAUAAAAAUCAGUUUGAAAAAGGGUUAACUCAUCAGAUGGACAAACAUACAAGUGGACGUGGUCGGGUACUUGUACAUCCCAACAAAAGACACUAGGUACAGAUCUGAGAGUACUCGAAGUUAACUGACAGCUAGUUCAAAGCUACUAACAACUAAUAAUAAAAUGGCACUGGCUACGGUUACAUGGAAAUGUAACAAUAAUAAAUAUAUUAUUGUUACAUUGGGGACUAAGGGAGCUACCAUUUGAUUUUUAGGGGGGGGAAGGAUGAAAAAUUUUGUCCUGAAUUUUUUUUUAGCUGUAAUCUCUGUCCUGCCUUUUUAUUUUUCACUCUGUUCGGUCCUGCCUUUUUUUUUAGUUUAUCCUGACUUUUUUUACCUAAAUUGUCGUCCUGACUUUUUUUUUUGCAAGUGUCUCAUCCUGCCUUUUUUUUUUACUCAAAACUCCUGUCCUGCCUAUUUUUUUCAAAUUUCAUCCUAG